RNAcentral lists this ribosomal RNA (253 nucleotides) under uncultured bacterium. Its description in RNAcentral is "partial 16S ribosomal RNA". It matches the Rfam family "Bacterial small subunit ribosomal RNA", at positions 524 to 776 of the family's 1533-position model. The record is from RNAcentral.
UACGUAGGGUGCAAGCGUUGUCCGGAAUUAUUGGGCGUAAAGAGCUCGUAGGCGGUCUGUCGCGUCUGGUGUGAAAACUCAGGGCUUAACCCUGAGCUUGCAUCGGGUACGGGCAGACUAGAGUGUGCUAGGGGAGACUGGAAUUCCUGGUGUAGCGGUGAAAUGCGCAGAUAUCAGGAGGAACACCGAUGGCGAAGGCAGCUCGCUGGGACGGUACUGACGCUGAGGCGCGGAAGCGUGGGGAGCAAACAGG